GGUGGCUCAGUGGUAGAGCGCUUGCCUCACAUGCAUGAGGUCCUGGGUUCAAUUCCUCAGCACCA
RNAcentral lists this transfer RNA (65 nucleotides) under Dipodomys ordii (Ord's kangaroo rat). It matches the Rfam family "tRNA". From Rfam's summary of the family: Transfer RNA (tRNA) molecules are approximately 80 nucleotides in length. Their secondary structure includes four short double-helical elements and three loops (D, anti-codon, and T loops). Lineage: Eukaryota; Metazoa; Chordata; Mammalia; Rodentia; Heteromyidae. The record is from Rfam by way of RNAcentral.